GCCCUGUUGGGGGACGGCGGAAGGACAUUA
RNAcentral lists this ribosomal RNA (30 nucleotides) under Fusarium acuminatum. RNAcentral describes it as "partial 18S ribosomal RNA". Lineage: Eukaryota; Fungi; Ascomycota; Sordariomycetes; Hypocreales; Nectriaceae. The record is from RNAcentral.